RNAcentral lists this ribosomal RNA (253 nucleotides) under uncultured bacterium. RNAcentral describes it as "partial 16S ribosomal RNA". It matches the Rfam family "Bacterial small subunit ribosomal RNA", at positions 524 to 776 of the family's 1533-position model. The record is from RNAcentral.
UACAGAGGGGGCAAGCGUUGUUCGGAAUUACUGGGCGUAAAGAGCGUGUAGGCGGCCCGGUAAGUCCGGUGUGAAAGUCGGGGGCUCAACCCUCGAAUGCCGGUGGAUACUGUCGGGCUAGAGUGCGGAAGAGGCGAGUGGAAUUCCUGGUGUAGCGGUGAAAUGCGCAGAUAUCAGGAGGAACACCAAUUGCGAAGGCAGCUCGCUGGGACGUAACUGACGCUGAGACGCGAAAGCGUGGGGAGCAAACAGG